UACGUAGGUGGCGAGCGUUGUCCGGAUUUACUGGGUGUAAAGGGCGCGUAGGCGGAUUUGCAAGUCAGAUGUGAAAUACCGGGGCUUAACUCCGGAACUGCAUUUGAAACUGUAGACCUUGAGUGCCGGAGAGGAAAGCGGAAUUCCUAGUGUAGCGGUGAAAUGCGUAGAUAUUAGGAGGAACACCAGUGGCGAAGGCGGCUUUCUGGACGGUAACUGACGCUGAGGCGCGAAAGUGUGGGUAGCAA
RNAcentral lists this ribosomal RNA (248 nucleotides) under uncultured Oscillospiraceae bacterium. RNAcentral describes it as "partial 16S ribosomal RNA". It matches the Rfam family "Bacterial small subunit ribosomal RNA", at positions 524 to 771 of the family's 1533-position model. The record is from RNAcentral. Lineage: Bacteria; Bacillati; Bacillota; Clostridia; Eubacteriales; Oscillospiraceae.